GCGGGCGUGGCGGAAUUGGUAGACGCACUGGAUUUAGGUUCCAGCGCCGCAAGGCGUGGAGGUUCGAGUCCUCUCGCCCGCACCA
This 85-nucleotide transfer RNA is filed under the name Phenylobacterium aquaticum. RNAcentral's name for it is "tRNA-Leu". It matches the Rfam family "tRNA". From Rfam's summary of the family: Transfer RNA (tRNA) molecules are approximately 80 nucleotides in length. Their secondary structure includes four short double-helical elements and three loops (D, anti-codon, and T loops). The record is from RNAcentral. Lineage: Bacteria; Pseudomonadati; Pseudomonadota; Alphaproteobacteria; Caulobacterales; Caulobacteraceae. RNAcentral also lists the same sequence under 3 other names.